RNAcentral lists this long non-coding RNA (923 nucleotides) under Homo sapiens (human). RNAcentral describes it as "HSALNT0399417". Lineage: Eukaryota; Metazoa; Chordata; Mammalia; Primates; Hominidae. The record is from RNAcentral.
ACAAGAGUCCCACUGUGACCCCUCCCCCAUCAUUGGAGCAAGGACUGGCUAAGCCUGAGCAAGGGUGGGGGAAAUAAAUAAGGCACUGUUGCCAGGGCCUGAGCCCAGCAGGAAAAGGGUGUGUGCAGAGGGAGGGCCUCGGGUCCUGCUGCUCCUCCUGGACUCCUUCAUCCCAAUCCCUUCACAUCCUUCUCUGACAAGGACUCCCACGUCCCUCCCCGGCUAACCUGGAUCCUGCUCAACCCAACACCUGCCUUCUCUCGGUCCCUGGGUUCCCGCAGGCCUUGGGGCCCCACAGUCAUAUCUGCUGUUCCUGCAGCAGAGAGGUUGUACUGGGUUGAGAGAGAGGCCUCAGAAUCAAGACCUUGUCUCCUGCCACAGUUUCCCUGGUGAAGCUCCCAGGCUGAGCACAAACUUCCAGGUCGAGCACAGAAGUUUCGACCUGGAAACUUCAGCCCUCAGAGAGGAGGUGGCACUAACGCUCUAGGUGGGCGGCUGCUCUAUGGUCUUCUGCUGCCUGGAGAGCUUUGCCUCCAUCACUGGUGCCCACCUGGGGAAUGCUCAGGAACUACUCUUCAAAAGUACACUCGGAUGCCCACUCUGCAAAGCCAUUUUGUUUCCUUAUUGUACCUCUGAAAUCAUUUGUUAACCAAGCAUUUGCAAAUCCGUCUGUCUUCUGUGUAUGGCAUAUCUAUAGACACUGCGGGUGAAAAACAAGGGCAAGACUCGAUUCCUUUUCUUGCUUGCUUGCUUGCUUUCUUGCUUUCUUUGCUUUCUUGCUUUCUUUUCUUUUUUCUUCUUUUUCUUUUCUUUUUUUUUUUUUUGGAGACAGUUUUGCUCUUGUUGCCCAGGCUGGAGUGCAAUGGUGCAAUCUUGGCUCACUGCAACCUCCGCCUCCAGGGUUCAAGCAAUUCUCCUGUUUC